This 253-nucleotide ribosomal RNA is filed under the name uncultured bacterium. RNAcentral's name for it is "partial 16S ribosomal RNA". It matches the Rfam family "Bacterial small subunit ribosomal RNA", at positions 524 to 776 of the family's 1533-position model. The record is from RNAcentral.
UACGUAGGCCGCGAGCGUUGUUCGGAGUUACUGGGCGUAAAGAGUGCGUAGGCGGUUUUCUAAGUUUGGUGUGAAAUCUCCCGGCUCAACUGGGAGGGUGCGCCGAAGACUGGAAGGCUAGAGUAUGGGAGAGGUAAGCGGAAUUCCUGGUGUAGCGGUGAAAUGCGUAGAUAUCAGGAGGAACACCUGCGGUGUAGACGGCUUACUGGACCAUCACUGACGCUGAGGCACGAAAGCGUGGGUAGCAAACAGG